AAGUCGUAACAAGGUCUCCGUUGGUGAACCAGCGGAGGGAUCAUUACAAGAAGCCGAAAGGCUGCUUAAAACCAUCGCGAACCUAUCCAUCAGCGUUGCUUCGGCGGGAGGAGGCCGCGGGGCCGACGUCUUGCGAGACGCCGGUUCCGGGCCGGGGACCCACACCUCUCCGGGGGUGCGGGGCCCGCCCGCCGGAGGUACGAAACCCUUCUGCAUCUAUAGUGGAAUCUCUGAGUAAGCAAGCAAAUAAGUUAAAACUUUCAACAACGGAUCUCUUGGUUCUG
RNAcentral lists this unclassified non-coding RNA (284 nucleotides) under fungal sp. RNAcentral's name for it is "partial internal transcribed spacer region". The stretch from base 1 to 46 matches the Rfam family "Eukaryotic small subunit ribosomal RNA", at positions 1786 to 1831 of the family's 1831-position model. Lineage: Eukaryota; Fungi. The record is from RNAcentral.